GUUAUUAUUUUGGGGUUUUUUUUUAAUGGGUUGAGAAUUAUUUUAUGGCUGAUUGUGUGAUCAGUUUUAUAGUAUGUGCCAUGUGCAAAUGAGAAGACAGUAUAUUCUAUUGUUAUUGGGUGAGGAGAAUUCAUUUCAUA
This is a long non-coding RNA of Sapajus apella (tufted capuchin), 140 nucleotides long. RefSeq lists it as uncharacterized. The transcript is spliced from 3 exons. Lineage: Eukaryota; Metazoa; Chordata; Mammalia; Primates; Cebidae. The record is from RefSeq and is a predicted model, not a curated record.